Non-coding RNA from Schistosoma mansoni, 45 nucleotides. The record is from Rfam. NCBI's taxonomy places the organism in Eukaryota, Metazoa, Platyhelminthes, Trematoda, Strigeidida, Schistosomatidae.
AUCCAACUGAUGAGUUCUAAAUAGGACGAAACGCGCGUCUUGGAU